This 1900-nucleotide long non-coding RNA is filed under the name Spirodela polyrhiza (greater duckweed). RNAcentral describes it as "long non-coding RNA (SPOL_LNC000823)". Lineage: Eukaryota; Viridiplantae; Streptophyta; Magnoliopsida; Alismatales; Araceae. The record is from RNAcentral.
AUAUUUUCAAGAGCUGGCAGUUUUGAAAAUAACUAGAAAUAAAUGAAAAUAAUUACUCACCCUUCAUUUUUUUUUAAAUUAUUCCUUCCUCUUGUAAAUAAAUGGUUUGUAUAGAAAACUCUCCACACAUUUUAAUGCGGACGUAAAUAAAUAAAUGAGAUCAUGGUUCUAUGAUUGACUAUAAAUAAAAAAUGUUUUCCCAGUAAUAAAUAAGUAUUAUUGGAAAAUAAUUUUUGAAAAAAGAUUACAUGAACUUUCAUGUCCGGAGAGGUGUGCCUGGAAAUAUUUUCAAAUCUGACAGUUUUGAAAAUAACCAGAAAUAAAUGAGAAAUAAUUUUUUAUAUUUAAUAAAUGGCAUGUAUAUAACUAAAUAAAUAAAACUAUGUUUCUAACAUUAUUAGGAUCCAUUUUCUGAACUAUCAUGUGACUCGUCAGAUAACUAGAAAUGAAUUAAAAUUUUAUUUUCUCCUUGAACUAAUAAAAAAGUGGGGAAUAAUAAUUCCAGGUAGACAAAAUGGCUCCCGCACCCCCUUCCACUGUCUCUGAUUGGUCCCAUCACGAUCUGAAGAUGCGAUCACCGCCGUCCAUCCUCCCCGUGGAAGAGCGACAAGUACAGCAGAAUGAUGGUCCCAACGCUGGACCUGCAUCAGAAGACAUCAGACGGUCCGUCCCACGUGGACCGGCACGAUCACACGGUCAGGAUGGGGUUCCCUUCAGCCAGCUGGGUCCGGCCCAAUGGGCCGUCUAUCCAGAUAUUAUAAACGGGCUUCUCACUUGGCCCAAUCGUCUCGUCGUGACGAACUGGAUAAGCCCUCUGUGUUGUUGCCACGUGGCACAUAUUAUCUUCCUCUUCCUAUCGGCUUUUCCCAUGGGGUUGUGCCACGUGGCGCGGACCCACCUACAAAUCUAGUAUUCUCUUUGGGGUUGGCGUAUUAUCUCGUAGAUAUAAAAUUAUCUAAAAAAGAUUGACUCUUUGAUUCAAUAAUCAAUGACUGUGUAGAAUAUAAUUACUUUUCCAGAAAUUAAAAAAGGCAGGCAAAUAAUUCCGUCCAAUAAUGGGAUAGAAAAUGAAAAAACCAUAAAAUAAAGAAUAUACCAAAAUAGCUUCCUCUUCCUCUCGGUUUGAUCUUCUCGUUAUAUAAUAAUUAAUUUCCAGAAAUUAAAAAGGUAGGCAAAUAAUUCCGUCCAAUAAUAUCAUAAGAUAAACAUGCCAAAUUAUCUAAAAUAAAUUAGAUACCACAAAUAAUAAGUUCCUCUAAGCUGAUUUUCUUUUUACAAUAUAUAUAUAUCUUUUUACAAUAUAUAUCUAUAUAUAUAUAUAUAUCUUUUCUCUCUCACUAGGAUCUGUAACUAAGGAGGUAGCUCAGACAAGGUUAGUAAUCAAUCAUGUUUGAAUGCAAGAUUUCAAUUUUCAGAAAAUCCAGGGUAUUUUAGUGAAAACGAGGACUUACAAAGUGGCGAACAAGAGGAGCACCAUCCGUGGGUCCCCGCCGGCACCGGCGCCGGCGCCUCUCCGGCAGCGGUGUCCCCUUCCGCCGUUCGCCUUCCAGGGCGCAGCUUCCGGCGGCCCGCCGACUGGGGGGAUGGCCACCGCGACGAACUUCUCCGCCACUUCGCCGCAGCCGCCCCCAGGCGGCGCCACCUUGGAGGGAGAGGAGAGAGAAAACAGAGCUUCUGGCCCUUCGCCGUCGCCCUCCGCCGCCGCCGCCGCGUUCUUCUUCUGCGGCUUCUGCAACUGAGAGAAGAAGACGUGGGUGAGGAAGAUGGAGAGACGACGAGGAAUGAAGAGUCCUCUGAAACUUACCGGCAUUCCUCAGCAGCGCUCACAGAGAGAUUGAGAGAGAAAGAGGGUGGAGAGAGAGUGAGUGAGUGAGAGAGAGAGAGAGAGAGAGAGAGAGAG